RNAcentral lists this ribosomal RNA (498 nucleotides) under uncultured bacterium. Its description in RNAcentral is "partial 16S ribosomal RNA". It matches the Rfam family "Bacterial small subunit ribosomal RNA", at positions 30 to 523 of the family's 1533-position model. The record is from RNAcentral.
AUUGAACGCUGGCGGCAUGCUUUACACAUGCAAGUCGAACGGUAACAGGCCGCAAGGUGCUGACGAGUGGCGAACGGGUGAGUAAUGCAUCGGAACGUGCCCAGUCGUGGGGGAUAACGCAGCGGAAGCUGUGCUAAUACCGCAUACGAUCUAUGGAUGAAAGCGGGGGACCGUAAGGCCUCGCGCGAUUGGAGCGGCCGAUGUCAGAUUAGGUAGUUGGUGGGGUAAAGGCUCACCAAGCCAACGAUCUGUAGCUGGUCUGAGAGGACGACCAGCCACACUUGGACUGAGACACGGCCCAGACCCCUACGGGAGGCAGCAGUGGGGAAUUUUGGACAAUGGGCGCAAGCCUGAUCCAGCAAUGCCGCGUGCAGGAAGAAGGCCUUCGGGUUGUAAACUGCUUUUGUACGGAACGAAAAGGUUUGGGUUAAUACCCUGGGCCGAUGACGGUACCGUAAGAAUAAGCACCGGCUAACUACGUGCCAGCCGCCGCGGUAA